CCUACGGGUGGCAGCAGUGGGGAAUAUUGCACAAUGGGGGAAACCCUGAUGCAGCAACGCCGCGUGAGUGAAGAAGUACUUCGGUAUGUAAAGCUCUAUUAGCAGGGAAGAAGAUGACGGUACCUGAUUAAUUAGACACGGCCAACUACGUGCCAGCAGCCGCGGUAAAACGUAGGGGGCAAGCGUUCUCCGGAUUUACUGGGUGGAAAGGGAGCGCAGAGGGCAGUGCAAGUCUGGAGUGAAAGCCCGGGGCCCAAACCCGGAACUGCUCUGGAAACUGGCCGGCUAGAGUACUGGAGAGGCAGGCGGAAUUCCUAGUGUAGCGGUGAAAUGCGUAGAUAUAAGGAAGAACACCAGUGGCGAAGGCGGCUUACUGGACAGUAACUGACGUUGAGGCUCGAAAGCGUGGGGAGCAAACAGGAUUAGAUACCCGUGUAGUC
RNAcentral lists this ribosomal RNA (440 nucleotides) under uncultured bacterium. RNAcentral describes it as "partial 16S ribosomal RNA". It matches the Rfam family "Bacterial small subunit ribosomal RNA", at positions 338 to 795 of the family's 1533-position model. The record is from RNAcentral.